This 877-nucleotide ribosomal RNA is filed under the name fungal endophyte. Its description in RNAcentral is "eukaryotic LSU rRNA". The stretch from base 368 to 877 matches the Rfam family "Eukaryotic large subunit ribosomal RNA", at positions 1 to 514 of the family's 3401-position model. The record is from RNAcentral. Lineage: Eukaryota; Fungi.
CGCUCUGUGAACCCUGAUGAAGAUGGGCUGUCUGAGUACUAUGAAAAUUGUCAAAACUUUCAACAAUGGAUCUCUUGGUUCCGGCAUCGAUGAAGAACGCAGCGAAAUGCGAUAAGUAAUGUGAAUUGCAGAAUUCCGUGAAUCAUCGAAUCUUUGAACGCACAUUGCGCCCCCUGGCAUUCCGGGGGGCAUGCCUGUCCGAGCGUCAUUUCUGCCCUCAAGCACGGCUUGUGUGUUGGGUGUGGUCCCCCCGGGGACCUGCCCGAAAGGCAGCGGCGACGUCCGUCUGGUCCUCGAGCGUAUGGGGCUCUGUCACUCGCUCGGGAAGGACCUGCGGGGGUUGGUCACCACCAUAUUUUACCACGGUUGACCUCGGAUCAGGUAGGAGUUACCCGCUGAACUUAAGCAUAUCAAUAAGCGGAGGAAAAGAAACCAACCGGGAUUGCCUCAGUAACGGCGAGUGAAGCGGCAAGAGCUCAAAUUUGAAAUCUGGCCCCUUUGGGGUCCGAGUUGUAAUUUGCAGAGGAUGCUUCGGGUGCGGUCCCCGUCUAAGUGCCCUGGAACGGGCCGUCAUAGAGGGUGAGAAUCCCGUCUGGGAUGGGCGGCCGCGCCCGUGUGAAGCUCCUUCGACGAGUCGAGUUGUUUGGGAAUGCAGCUCUAAGCGGGUGGUAAAUUUCAUCUAAAGCUAAAUACUGGCCGGAGACCGAUAGCGCACAAGUAGAGUGAUCGAAAGAUGAAAAGCACUUUGAAAAGAGAGUUAAACAGCACGUGAAAUUGUUGAAAGGGAAGCGUUGUCCACCAGACUCGCCCGGGGGGGUUCAGCCGGCACGUGUGCCGGUGUACUCCUCUCCGGGCGGGCCAGCAUCGGUUUGGGCGG